Molecule: non-coding RNA, 206 nt
Organism: Pelobates cultripes (western spadefoot toad)
Lineage: Eukaryota; Metazoa; Chordata; Amphibia; Anura; Pelobatidae
Source: the annotation of a GenBank genome assembly
CUGUAAACUGAAGUUUAUAUAAUGAAACAAACGAAUAGAUAAAUAAAACUCAAACAUCUAGUCACACUAAGUUGCUGAUAAGUUGUUUGGUGCAUCUGAGGAUGACGAUGUGACAUCUCAACAAGUGUUGUAAGAGAUGGUUGGUCCGAUCCUAACCGCUAUCUAUAUAGUGAGCACCUGAAUAGUAUGAAAGGUAUGGAUUGAGC